UAGAACAAAUGUUUAUUGAAUUCUGAAUUCUUAUUUCUUUAAUAAAUAAGUACUUUGAUUGAAUACUUCUAAAAGAUCAAUAUUGAAUUCAGUGUGCUUUGAGUUACGAUAGAUUAAAAAUUCAGUUUCUCAACAUAUUAAUAUGAAUUGACGGAUAUCUGGUGAUUCAAGCCAUCAUGAUGCGUUUUUUGAUGAGGAAAGAAUUUUUUCCGAACAAAAUUAUGAUGGCAUCAUGAGGUCACAACUGCGAUGUGAAUUCUGCCUUACAGUAAACAGUUCUUAUUUUGUGAUAAAACAUCUCAAAAUUGCCUGUGAAAAUUGUUUGAAUUCACAAACGAUUCCAACUUGUGAGGAAUUCGGAUCUACAAAAAAAUUGAAUUCAGUGGAAUGUCAUCUAUCUGUCGUUUGUAGAGGAAAAGCGAAAUGGCGUUGCUCUGGUUAAAUUAAUUAUUGUGAUAAUUGCCACAUAUAAAUUGUUUGAUACUGGAAAAGAAAGAUUGAAAAUGCAAGCCAGAACCAUUAUUCAUUCAUCAUCCAUCAUUUUGUGUCGAGUGUAAGCUUAUACCUGUUGAAUUCAGGAGUGAAGAUGGGAAGAAUCUCUGCCAUAGAUGUGCAACAACAUCCUUAAGAUCAGCAGCCAUCAUAAGAAUUCAACAAUCUAAAAUUGAUGAAUUCAAACAUUCACUUUCAACAAUUUCAAUAGAUCUGGACCGAAUUAUUCAUCUGAAUAGAAUUCAAAUAGCUAAAUUGAAUUUUCUAAGGGAAGAGUUUUCGACGAUAAUAAAUAUGCUAUUUCAAGCAAUCGAGCUGCGGUUGAGGGAUUGAAAAAUCUUCACAGCAACUAUUUCGAAUGUGAAUCAAAGCAGGAGAUUUUGCAAAACAUUGCUGAAUUCAUGAAUAAACAAUCACUUUUUUUGAAUUUGAUUGCCAACAAACAAAUUGAUUGCGAAGAGUUUGGACAAAUUGUGAAUAGAGUUAAAGAAAAAGUUGGAAUUCUGAAUGAAGCAUUGAUGGUUCCUAUCUUGAAUUGUGAACUUGAAAGGACACCAUUCUCUUGUUCACAGAAUUCCUCUGAAGCCUAUGUCACGCGUUUACAUGAUGCUGAUGCAAGCGCUGCUUCAGUGAGUUGCAACUUUCAUCAGGAUGUCCGUCAAUCUGUACAAAUUCAGAAUUCACAGAUUUAUCCGCCUGGUGAAUUGAUCGAUUUUCCAUCAUCAGAAGAAGUGCAAACAACUAACAUUUUUUUUGUGAUCCAUUUUGGAUGUUCAUGGUAAUACCAGGUCAGCUACAAAGGAGACGAGACAAUCUUGCUAACAUUCAAAAUAGCACAGAACCAACACCAUUGAUUUCAUAAUCCAUAAAGCUUGAUACGGAAGUUUUGUCCAGAGACACACGGGAAAUUCCUGAUGAAUAUCCAUUAAAGAGAGGUAUAAUUGUUCGUCUUUCCUCUCGACCAGGAGGCACAUACUGUUGUCAAUCUCUUGAUUUUGGAUACAAGCUUGCCAAAGGAAUUCAAUUUUUAUUCAAAGUUCCUCCGGAAUUAGUAGGAAAACCCCCAACAGUGUUCAAUUGUAAGAUGAUGGGAAUAAAGCCUGUAUCCGGGUUCACAUUCACUGAUGUUUUUACAGAAAAUGCCUGUUCAGUUAUGCGUCGAUUGGCAAAAAUCACUAAUUAUAAAGUAUACAUACGGCGAUACUUCAAAGUACCAGAUAAAUAUGACACCAUAUUUUGUCACGUCGUAUGUUUGUUAUGCAGAACUCGAUUGGAUUGGUCCGAAAAGUUGAUAUCUUCUAAGGUUGCAAUUGAAUUCAAGGAUUCAAAUCAAUGCUUCCGACCAAGGGAAGAUUACUGUUAUCUUCAUCACGUUCUCAAUGGCUGCAUUCAAUCUGAAUGUUACAAAAAUCAUUCUUGCCAAUUCUGUCCAGAUAACGCAAACUCGAACAGGCUUAAGGAAUGCGAAGCAUACAUUGAAGCCGAAAAACAACUUCUGAUGGAAUGAAUUCAUUUUGUUCUCCUUAUUUAUUUUCAUAUCAUAAAAGUUUUCAGUUUAUAAUGUAACCAAAGAUACUGAAUCCUUCAAAUUUCUUUUAAAAAGUUGAAUAAGUUAUUACCAUUGUGUAUCAGGGUCCUGAAUUCUCAUUUUUUCAUUGUA
Molecule: non-coding RNA, 2152 nt
Organism: Tetranychus urticae (two-spotted spider mite)
Lineage: Eukaryota; Metazoa; Arthropoda; Arachnida; Trombidiformes; Tetranychidae
Source: RefSeq, a predicted model, not a curated record